Molecule: non-coding RNA, 113 nt
Filed under: Atopobium minutum
Lineage: Bacteria; Bacillati; Actinomycetota; Coriobacteriia; Coriobacteriales; Atopobiaceae
Also listed under: 1 other name
Description: TPP sequence
Rfam family: TPP riboswitch aptamer (THI element)
About the family: Vitamin B(1) in its active form thiamin pyrophosphate (TPP) is an essential coenzyme that is synthesised by coupling of pyrimidine and thiazole moieties in bacteria. The previously detected thiamin-regulatory element, thi box was extended, resulting in a new, highly conserved RNA secondary structure, the THI element, which is widely distributed in eubacteria and also occurs in some archaea.
Source: RNAcentral
AGUACAUAAAAAGGGAGCUGCGAGUAUGGCGCGGCUGAGAGGAACGGUCCACCCGUUUGACCUUCAAACCUGAUCUGGAUAAUGCCAGCGUAGGGAUAAAGCAGCUAGAGCAA